UCAUGAUCCAUGCUGCGCUUCCUUUUGCCCCUCUUGUCAUGUCAAGGCGUCGAGGAAAAGGGGGAGAACACGCGUCCGACAACACAACGAUGCGGAGAGUGGAUCUGCAACACGGAGACACGGACAACAGGCAGGAACCCAUGGAGCGCUGACGCAUGCUAACCCGCCACGCCACGCCCACCUCCCGCCAUCUGCCCGCCACUCUGCAACAAGAAAGCAUGUUCUAUGAGAGGGGGUCACCGUUCACCCUAAUCACGGCCGUGACAUGACAUGCUGUAGGUUGCCCCUCAGUGUUAAAUAUUUAUGUCAGCACCGCUGUAAUGCCUUGAUGGCUGUCAAGACUUUGACAUGCCUGCUC
This is a long non-coding RNA of Entelurus aequoreus (snake pipefish), 358 nucleotides long. RefSeq lists it as uncharacterized. The record is from RefSeq and is a predicted model, not a curated record. The transcript has 3 exons. NCBI's taxonomy places the organism in Eukaryota, Metazoa, Chordata, Actinopteri, Syngnathiformes, Syngnathidae.